Molecule: long non-coding RNA, 1756 nt
Filed under: Homo sapiens (human)
Lineage: Eukaryota; Metazoa; Chordata; Mammalia; Primates; Hominidae
Description: HSALNT0154342
Source: RNAcentral
AAAGCGAGUCCGGCGGGCGGCUCCUCGGGGUUGGGCGACCGAGCGGGGCCGGCCGGGCGGGGGGCGGGCCCGUGAAGGCGGCGCAGCGCGGCGCGGGAGGCGUGCUGGGCGCGGGGCUGCGGUGCCCAGAGGCUGCGGCAUUAGGGGCUCGGCGCCCCCGACCUUCCGCGUCCCGGGGUGGCGGCGGCGGCGGCGGCGGCGGCGCGGGCGGCAUAUGAUGCUGAGCUGGCUGCUCCAGAAUGAACCACAGCUCUGAGAAGGGGAAGUAGAAACAGCUGGCGCCCUGCCAUGGCCUGUGAACCACAGGUGGACCCGGGGGCCACUGGCCCAUUGCCCCCCUCCUCCCCUGGCUGGAGUGCCCUGCCUGGAGGGAGCCCUCCUGGCUGGGGGCAAGGUAAGAUCAUGACCUUUCAUUUUCCACCUUCUUUCUACCUCAUGCUGAACUGGACUCACAGGGCACAGAAGUUCCUUUAGAUAAGGUCAGGGGGAGGUGUCUUUGAGGCCAUAUUCUGUCAUUUUUACCAGUUCUGUCUCUUGGCCUUAGACCAAGCCACCAUCACUCUCUGCUGAGCCCCUGCUGUAGCUUGCUUGUUGGUCUUCUCUUUUCCAUUUAUUCUUUACAUGGCAGCCAGAGAGCUCUUUAUUAUUUAUUUAUAUUUCUGAUUUAUUUUUACUUAUUUAGAGACAGGGUCUUGCUCUGUUAUCCUGGCUGGAGUGCAGUGGCGUGAUUGUAGCUCACUGGAGCCUGGAACUCCUGGGCUCAAGUAAUCCUCCCACCUCAGCCCCCUGAACAGCUGGGAUUACAGGCAUCCACCGCUACAUCCUGCUAAUUAAAAAUGUUUUUUGUAGAGUUGGGGCCUUACUUUGUUGCCCAGGCUGGUCUCAGACUCCUGGCCUCAAGCAGUCCUCUGGCUUUGCCUUCCCAAAGUGCUGGGGUUACAGGAAUGGGGCCCAGAGGUUUUUAAUUUUUUAUUUUUUUUAUUUUUUGAGAUGGAGUCCCACUCUGUUGCCCAGGUUGGAAUGCAGUGGCAUGAUCUCGGUUCACUGUAGUCUUCACCUCCCAAGUUCAAGCAGUUCUCCUGCCUCGGCUUCCCGAGUAGCUGGGAUUACAGGUACCCACCACCACGCCCAGCUAAUUUUCGUAUUUUUAGUAGAGAUGGGGUUUCACCAUCUUGGCCAGGCUGGUCUCGAAUUUCUGACCUCAGGUGAUCCGCCCACCUUGGGCUCCCAAAGUGCUGGGAUUACAGGCGUGAGCCACCACACCUGGCCCCAGAUAUCUUUUUAAAAUACACAUUUAGUCCAACCAUGUCAGUUUCUGCUCAGUGUUUUCCAUGGGGCUUAGUGUGAAGGCCUGCCUUCAUAUUCUUUGCUGUGCUGUUUUGCCUCAGGACCUUUGCACCUGCAUUCCCUUCUGCCUGUUGUGCUUUUCCCUUGCCUCCUUUCUCCUGAUGAAUUUCUAUUCAUCCAUCAGACAUGGUGGCUCACACCUGUAAUCCCAGCACUUUGGGAGGCCAGGGUGGGCAGAUCACUUGAGGUCAGGAGUUCAAACAGUACUUGAGUACAUGUUUACCUGGCCAACAUGGUAAAACCCUUUCUCUACUAAAAAUCAGCUGGAUGUGGUGGCGGGCGCCUGUAAUGCCAGCUACUAGGGAGGCUGAGGCAGGAUAAUCACUUGAACCAGAGAGGCAGAGGUUGCGGUGAGCCGAGAUCACACCACUGGACUCCAGUUUGGGUGACAGAGUGAGACUCCAUCUCA